GAUUGUGUCCACCGAAAAAUCUCUAAAAUCCAGAAUAGUAUCCUCUGUCGUAGAGUUGAUCUCCAAGAGGUGAAACUUGCCCUCUUUGAUAUGAAACCAGGUAAGUCUCCGGGUCCAGAUGGCCCUAGCCCUACCUUUUUCCAACACUUCUGGGAUAUUCUGAGUCCUCAUCUCUUACAAUUCUGUUCUAACUGUAUUUAAUAUGGUUCCCUCCCUUCCGGAAUUAAUUUCACACAUAUUGUUCUGGUUCCAAAGAAGUCAAAGCCGGAAGUCUUGGGUGAUUUGCGCACUAUUGCUCUUUGUAAUAUUUUGUAUAAAAUGGUUUCCAAGGUUGUUGCCAAUAGAGUUAAGCCCCUCCUUUCCCAGAUUGUUUCUGAGUCUCAAACUGCAUUCAUACCGGGUAGGCUGAUAACUGACAAUGUCAUGGUUGCGUAUGAGAUUAAUCACUACCUGAAAAGGAAACGUCAAGGGAGAGAUGGUUUUGUUGGAAUUAAACUUGACUUGAGUAAAGCCUAUGCCUGUGUGAAUUGGGAUUUUCUUAGAGGGAUUUUAUUAAAGCUGGGAUUCUCCGUCCAGUUCUCCAAUCUCAUAUUUGAAAUGAUUUUAUCUGUGAAUUACUCUAUUCUGUUGUGGAAGGGAUAUUGGCUCUUUUAUUCCUUCUAGAGGACUUCGGCGAGGAGACCCUAUCUCACCCUACUUAUUCAUUCUUGUUCUCGAUGUGUUCCAUUGUUUGAUCCAAAGAAAGGUUAGAGAGGGUCUAGUCCAUGGGGUAUCUGUUGCUAGAAGGGCUCCUAUCAUCACCAAUCUCUAUUUUGCAAAUGAUUGCUACAUUUUCUGCAAAGCUAAUAUUCCUGAAGUGUCUGUGAUUAAGGAGGUCAUUGAUUCUUUCGUUGAGGCCUCAGGUCAAGCCAUUAAUUACUCUAAGUCAACCCUAUCUUUCAGUAUGAAUGUUGAUGCUUUACUUAGAGGGGCUGUCUGUAGGGCUUUGGAUAUGAGAGAGGGUAAUAUGAGUGGUAAUUAUUUGGGUUUCCCUUCUCUAAUUGGUAGAAAUAAGCGGGAAAUUCUUGGAUUUAUUAAAGAAAGAGUUGUGGGAAGAAUUACUAGCUGGACUAACAGAUUCCUAUCCCAGGCUGGGAGGGAAAUUCUUUUAAAAAUGUAGUCCAAGCCAUACCAGCCUACGCCAUGAGUGUUUUCCUCCUUCCACUGGAAAUGAGAAGAGAAAUUGAGAGAGUUAUGAAUACCUAUUGGUGGAACUGCGAAGGGGAAAGAAGCAAAGGUAUUAGAUGGAAAUGGUAGGAUGCUCUUUGUUAUCCAAAGCAGUGUGGUGGGUUAGGGUUUCGGUACAUUCGUGAGUUUAAUAUUGCCAUCCUUGGUAAAGAAGCUUGGAGAGUCAUACAAUACCCGAAUUCGUUAAUGGUCAGACUUUAUAAAGCUAAAUAUUUCCCUCGAUCCUCCUUUUUUGAAGCUCAAAUUGGAGGGAGUCCUUCUUUCAUAUAGAGAAGCUUACUUGAAGCUCAGGAUAUUAUUAGGGACAGUCAUAGAUGGAGAGUGGGUAACGGGUCUUUUAUUCAUGUUUGGGGUGAUCCUUGGCUCCCUAAUACCUCUUCCCCCUACAUUCAUACUCCACUUUUUGGGAAUAACAAUCUGAUUUGGGUUAAUGAUCUGAUGAAUGAUGAAAAAACUGCUUGGAACAUAAGUCUGAUUGAUGAACGCUUUAUCCCUGCAAAUGCUGAUAUGGUUAAAAGCAUUCCUAUUGCUAAUUGUCAGACGGAGGAUAAAAUUGUUUGUAUGGAAGAUGAAAAAGGUGACUACACAGAGAAAAGUUGUUACAAGAAGCUCACUCGUUCAAUGCACGCUCAUCCAACACUGUUUUGGACCAAAGUUUGGAAGCUAACCCUACCUCCAAAAAUUAAAUAAUUCUUAUGGUAGGUAUGCUCUGGCCCUCUCCUAACUUAUGAUAAUCUAAUAGUGAAAAGAGUUCAAGUCCCUAGCCUAUGUCGGUUGUGCAAUCUGGAAGAGGAGACUAGCUUACAUAUUUUUGUUAAUUGCCCGUUAGCUAAGGGAUGUUGGGAGUUAAUUGACAGAUCUUCUCUCCAUAAUUAUGGAUCCUUCCUGGAAUGGCUGGAAUUUAACUUCAACACAUUACCUGAUUCCGACCUUUGCUCUUUGAUCUCUAUCUGCUGGAAAAUUUGGGUUGUUAGGAAUGAGAAAAUCUGGAAUAAUAUCGUUCUCUCCACUCAUGAUGUUGUUUCAGGUGUCCAAGUCUUUCUCUCGGAGUGGCAAUCGGCUAACCAUUGUAGUUAUCAGCAGACCCCAAGUGUUAAUCAAGAUGAUAGGUGGAUUAAACCUCCUGUGGGUUGGGUUAAACUAAACGUUGAUGCAGCAUUAAACUCAGUUAAUAGAAAGAUGGGAUUUGGCUUUGUCUUACGAGAUGAGAAUGGUUCUUUUAUAGCUGCAAAGGAGGUUCCUUGGGAGGGAUUUUUCUCACCAUCAGAAGUUGAGGCUAUAGUAGUUCGAGAGGCUUUGAAGUGGAUCAAAGUCCAUCUUGAUCAGGUCCAGGUUGAGACAGAUUGUCUCAAGGUGGUUCAAGGCAUAGGCAGUUUUUAUUCUUGCUGUUCUUUUGAUUUAAUCACUAAUGACAUUAGAGAAUUAGCUAAGGAUUUUUGUAAUCUUAGCUUUCAUUUUGCUAAAGCGGUCUGCGAACAUGGUUGCCCAUGAGUUAGCUCGGGAAGCCGUGUUUAAGUCUGACUAUGUUUCUUGUUUUUCAGUUCCUUUCGCUCUGUUGCUCACGUCUUUGAGCUAGACUAUUAUUAAUAUAUGAUCGUUUUUAUUUCCAAAAAAAAAAAACUAACUGAAGUUAAACGGAAGGACCAUUGUUGAAACAAAUUCAAUAGUCAAGUGUCUUUUUUGUCCAAAUUAAAAGACGAGAACUAAUUUUAAAAAAUCAACAUAGUCGGGGACCAUUGCUAGAAUUAUCUCUUCAAGGAUUUAUUUUAAAUUCCAAAAAAUAUCCCUUAUUUUUCUUUUUUAGUACUAUGGACUCUCUAUUUAAGAGACCUCAAAUUUGAUAGAGUUACAAUUAUGUCACUUGAUCACAAAGUGGAUUGCAUAUCUUAUUCCUAAAUGCCUAGCUUGCGCAAGGGAAAUCGUUGGAGGAAAGCAGAACGCCUAGCCAGUUGCCACCACUUCCAACCGGAUAACAUCUAUGGGAGAAUCCAAAUAUGCUUAUUUGCUCACUGAAUUUGGACUUUAUCGUCUUAAUAUCCCAGACUUCGAUCCAGCCCACCAACCCCAAUUCAUGCUUGAGUGUGUAGGUGAGGUAUUUCGUGAUAUCAUAACCACAACUAUGGGAAUCUUCAGCCAAGGGCAGGAUGUAUAUUUUUUUGGGGGCAUAAAAGGUACACAUUAUAACAGGAGCCUGUAUUUUUUCAAUCCUCGCAAGGUCAAGGAGAAGGAAUAUCCCAUUAGGGAUACUAAGUUACUUUAGAAAUCAAGUGUUAAGUACGAACCCAUGGAUACUCCUUCUGUGUUACAAGCUAACCAUAAGACUUACUUAUUCUCAGUUUAUCGUCCUAGCUACGGUCCAAUGAAAUCACUCUGCUGUUUUCAGUCCUUUGAUCCAAUCAAAAAUUGCUUUUGCACCCUUCCAACCCCCUCCCUAGAUGAUUCGUUUCUGUGGCGGUAUAAUGAGAUGGGGUAUUUUCUUGUUUAUGAUCAUAUAUACUUGUUUAUCAAAGGAGAGGCAAAGGACAUUCACAAGCUUCAUGCCUUCUCUUUCGACACUAGAUCAUCAAAAUGGAUGGAAGUAGAGUCCUUGUUGAGCAAAUUUGAAGAACUCAAUAUUCCCAUUCCCUAUCGGGCGAUAUAGGGCUCUCUUAUAAGUUUGACUAUAAUACUCAGAUUUUGGUCGCCCUUAAUUAUAGUGAACCUACUGCAUAUCAUGUUCAGAUUAGUGCAGCAGGGAGUUCUCUCCGGCCUAAAUCGUGUAGGUGUUUACUUGAACAUAAUUAUGGGAAUAAUAACUUCUCACACCUACUUGAUAUUGGAAGUGAAAGGUUUUGUGUGAUUUAUUCUGCGGCGUACAGAGAUAUUUUGGUUUAUGCCUUCAAGAUGGAUUUUGCAGUUGAAUAUGAAAACCAGGGAAAGCCAACCUCACUUGCAAUGCCCUCCAUAGAGAUUCUCUGUUCCAAGAAAUUUUGUCCCGCCAUAGUUUCUUGUGUUUGUUUGGCCUAUGCUCCUGCAUCUCAACGUUGUAUUCCCUGGGAUAAAGUUGAGCCCUGGGAUGAAUCUAAUAAAAGGGAGCUAGAAAGGGAUCCAGGUGUUGUGUAUCUCGACGUACACAAGAUUAUUAGUUAGCUCUUUGGCUGGAAACAUAAUGUUAGUUUUGAGCUCUUCUCUUCAUCCACCAUUCUUGUAAUUGUGUUUGUGAUCACGCCAGGUGUAGAUCAGAGGCUUUGUAAGGAGAGAUGAUGAUUUAUCUUUAUGUUGCUAGUGCUCACUGCUCAGUAAUCCCAUACAAGCCAGGGUGGUUUAUCUCUGUUGCCAUAUUUUGUUUUCCAAGAAACAAGCUAGUGGUACAAAAAUGAGCUCUAUUACAUGUAAUACCUAUUUCUAUUCCCUGAUGUGACAAUUAAUGAUUAGUUAUCUCUAUCCUUUGGUUCUCAA
This is an RNA transcript of Ipomoea triloba (trilobed morning glory), 4665 nucleotides long. RefSeq lists it as uncharacterized. The transcript is spliced from 3 exons. NCBI's taxonomy places the organism in Eukaryota, Viridiplantae, Streptophyta, Magnoliopsida, Solanales, Convolvulaceae. The record is from RefSeq and is a predicted model, not a curated record.